This 3321-nucleotide long non-coding RNA is filed under the name Oryza sativa Indica Group (long-grained rice). Its description in RNAcentral is "lncRNA OsMH63_11G022940". The record is from RNAcentral. Lineage: Eukaryota; Viridiplantae; Streptophyta; Magnoliopsida; Poales; Poaceae.
CAAGCUGCAAACACUGUGCAAGUGACGGCCUACGCCAAGGUCGACGCCGUCCAUGUCGAUGCGGUGAAGCAGCGGCCGGGCGUCCCCGUGCUGGUGCGCGUCGUCGCGCCACCGCCGGCGGCGGCGUCAUCGGAGCGCGCCCCGAUUGACCUCGUCGCGGUGCUCGACGUCAGCUGCUGCGGCGGGCUGGGGCCGGUGAACCGGAUGGAUCUCCUCAAGAAGGCCAUGGGCUUCGUCAUCGACAAGCUCGGCGAGCAUGACCGCCUCGCCGUCGUCCCCGUCCAGGCCUCCGCCGCCAUCGCCGAGAAGCACGAUCUCGUGGAGAUGAACGCUGAGGGACGGAAGGAGGCCACUAGGAUGGUGCAGUCGUCACCGGGGUUCAUCGUCCUCAUCUCCGACGGCGACGACGCCUCCGUCCUCAACGAUGCCAUGAACCUCAACUGCUCCGUCCACGCCUUCGGCUUCCGCGACGCCCACAACGCAAGGGCCAUGCACCGCAUCGCCAACACCUCGGCCGGCACCUACGGCAUCCUCAACGACGGCCACGACGGGCUCGCCGACGCCUUCGUCACCAGCGUCGGCAACAUCACCUCCAUCGUCGCCGUCGACGCGGAGGUCAGCGUCUCCUGCAGCGGCGCGGAGUCGACGGCGGCGAAGCUGACGGCCAUCGAGUCCGGCAGGUUCAAGCACGACAUCAAUGGUGGCGGAAAGCGCGGCACCAUCCAGGCCGGCGCCCUCCAGGCCGGCGCGGUGAGGAGCUUCCUCGUCUACGUGGACAACGUCGGCGACGACGAGCUCGAACACCUGCCGAGCAUGCUCACCGUCGGCGUGCAGUACGAGGACCGUUCGACGACGACGUCGCAGAACGCGGCGGAGAACCAGGCCGGGCGAGAGAUGGCACGGCGAACCGCCCAGGUCGUCGUCGUCAGGGACGGCGACGAGCACUCGAGGUUGGUGGCGGCGGAGAUCGUCCGCGUCGCGGCGAUGAGGAUCGUCGGCGAGAUCAUCAAAAAUUACGGCGACAACGGGAGGGCGCUCGCCGGCGCCGCCGACGAGCUGCACAAGCAGUGGAGCCUCCUGAAGAAGUCGGAGUUCGCCAAGGAGGCCGCCCCGGCGUGCUUCGUCUCCGCGCUCGACGCGGAGAUGUCGGAGAUGGAGGCCACCCUGCGCCGGAGCUCCGGCAUGUCGUACAUGCUGUCGUGGCAGACCUGCCACUCCCUGCAGCACCUGCAGCACGCGCGUUCGUCGUCGUCGCCGUCGGCGACGACGUCGGUGGCGGCGGCGGCGAAGGGGAACGGCGGCGCGUCGGCUGUGGCGGCGGCAGCGCGGCAGAGCUUCACGGCGGGAGGGGCGGCGGCGAUGGGCAAGUUCGUGUGGUCCGGAGCUCAUCACGGCGGCGGCGGCGGCGGCGGCGAGAGGAAGCGCAAGUACCAGAGCUCGGAGAUGGAGAUGAUCGAGCAGCGGCUGGCGUACUGGACCAAGGUGAAGUGCGAGCUGCCGCCGAUGCAUCACGACGGCGAGUGCCCCGACCACAUGACCACCAUCUUCCGCGAUGCCUCCCGCGACUCCAUCGACCGCGCCAUACAAGCAGGGUGGAAGCACUCCGUGUACUGUGACCCAGCAAGAUCCGGGCCGUUCGCUCCAGUGUCAGCUCUGGCGAGUGACAAGGUACAGCUGAGCACUUUCCCGAGGGUGGACGCGAUCCCCCGUCGGGAAUGCCACCCGCGUCUCCCGGUGCUGGUGCGCGUCGCCGUGCCGGCGACGGCGGCGCGCCGUGCACCGGUUGACCUCGUCACCCUGCUCGACAUCAGCUGCGGCGGCGGCGGCGGCGCGCCGGCGAGGAGGCUGGACCUGCUGAGGAAGGCGAUGGACCUCGUCAUUGGAAACCUCGGCGCCGACGACCGCCUCGCCAUCGUGCCGUUCCACUCCUCCGUCGUCGACGCCACCGGCCUUCUCGAGAUGUCCGUCGAGGGACGGGGCGUCGCGAGCCGGAAGGUGCAGUCGCUGGCCGUCGCCGGCGGCACCAAGCUGUUCCCGGCGUUGAACGCGGCCGUCGAGAUCCUGGAGGCGCGGUGCUGGGAGGCGAAGCGCGAACGCGUCGGCGCCGUCGUCCUCAUCUCCGACGGCGACGACCGCACCAUCUUCCGCGAGGCCAUCAACCCCAGGUACCCCGUCCACGCCUUCGGCUUCCGCGGCGCGCACGACGCGAGGGCCGUGCACCACGUCGCCGACCACACCUCCGGCGUGUACGGCGUCCUCGACGACGAGCACGACAGGGUCACCGACGCGUUCGCGGCGUGCGUCCGCCGCGUCACCUCCGUCGUCGCCGUCGACGCGCAGGUCGACCUCACCUGCGGCGCCUACUCCAGGGCGUCGCUCCUGGCCGUCGAGAGGAGCGGGGACCACAGGGCCCACGUCGACGAGGACCGGAGGUCCGGGUUCAUCUACGCCGGCGCGCUCUGCGCCGGCGACGUCAAGAACUUCCUCGUGUACGUCGACGUCGACCGGGAGGCCGACGGCGGCGGCGUCACCGAGCUGCUCACCGCGCACGGCACGUACAUGGACGCGGCGAGGAGGAAGGAGACGACCGUGCACCUGGACGAGCGGAUGGCCGUGGUGCAGAGGCGCGACAAGGUCCCCGACGUGUCCCGCGACGUCGCGGCGGAGCUGGUCCGCGUCGACACGGUCAAGAUGGUCGCCGUCGUGCUCGACAGGUUCAAGGACAAGGGGAGCGCCGCCGCCGCCAUGGAGCUCCGUGAGGGGUGGUGCCGCGUCAAGGCCUCCGAGGACGCGCGUGCCGCCGGCGCGGCGAGCCUCGCCGUCCUCGAGAGGGAGAUCGAGGAGAUGGAGGCCAGCCUGGUCCGGUGCACCGGGCUGUCCACCAUGCUCUCCUGGCUCAAUCGCCACAAGCUUCAGCUGCACACCGCCGCCGCCGCCGCCGCGACGGCGAGGGUUUCCCCGGCGCCACCGUCGUCGUCCAACGUGGUGGCGGACGCUAUCACAGCCGGCGAGGGGCACGUGAAGGAGGUUGCUGGCGUCGCCGUCGUCUCCGGCGGUACGAAGCGCAAGUGCGUGGAGAUGGACAUGAUCGAGGAGAGGCUUGCCUACUGGUCCAAGGUGAAGCACGACCUGCCGCUCAUGUUCCCGGACCACGCGGCGGCAGCGGCGACGGCGGCGGCGGCGGCGGCGGCGGAGGGUACGGCGAGCACCGGCGACCACGUGGCGGCGGUGUUCCGCGACGCCUCGUUGGAGACCAUCAACCGCGCCAUGUUCCACGACGUCUACUUGGUACGUGCUGACUCGUUUCGUUGCCCCUUAUAA